UUAGUCAAUAGGGGUCAGAUCAACCUCGACAAACAAGCCAUGAAAAGGUAAUCAAAUGGGCUCUUAACCACUGACAUUGAACGUCAGGGUGAGCAGAUCAAAAGGGUAAUGAGGAUAAGACCUCAUAGCUCUUAACCCUGGACAGAGUCAGGGUGAGCAGAUCAAAAGGGUAAUGAGGAUAAGACCUCAUAGCUCUUAACCCUGGACAGGGUGAGCUCAUGACAAAAAGUGGGGAUUCAGGAAGGUGGAACCCUCUCCACUGACUGACCGGACUAAAGAUC
This 281-nucleotide long non-coding RNA is filed under the name Lathyrus oleraceus (garden pea). RNAcentral's name for it is "Pisum sativum (pea) long non-coding RNA (PSAT_LNC029534)". The record is from RNAcentral. Lineage: Eukaryota; Viridiplantae; Streptophyta; Magnoliopsida; Fabales; Fabaceae.